This 605-nucleotide ribosomal RNA is filed under the name Escherichia coli. RNAcentral describes it as "partial 23S ribosomal RNA". It matches the Rfam family "Bacterial large subunit ribosomal RNA", at positions 530 to 1135 of the family's 2925-position model. The record is from RNAcentral. Lineage: Bacteria; Pseudomonadati; Pseudomonadota; Gammaproteobacteria; Enterobacterales; Enterobacteriaceae.
CGAGGGGAGUGAAAAAGAACCUGAAACCGUGUACGUACAAGCAGUGGGAGCACGCUUAGGCGUGUGACUGCGUACCUUUUGUAUAAUGGGUCAGCGACUUAUAUUCUGUAGCAAGGUUAACCGAAUAGGGGAGCCGAAGGGAAACCGAGUCUUAACUGGGCGUUAAGUUGCAGGGUAUAGACCCGAAACCCGGUGAUCUAGCCAUGGGCAGGUUGAAGGUUGGGUAACACUAACUGGAGGACCGAACCGACUAAUGUUGAAAAAUUAGCGGAUGACUUGUGGCUGGGGGUGAAAGGCCAAUCAAACCGGGAGAUAGCUGGUUCUCCCCGAAAGCUAUUUAGGUAGCGCCUCGUGAAUUCAUCUCCGGGGGUAGAGCACUGUUUCGGCAAGGGGGUCAUCCCGACUUACCAACCCGAUGCAAACUGCGAAUACCGGAGAAUGUUAUCACGGGAGACACACGGCGGGUGCUAACGUCCGUCGUGAAGAGGGAAACAACCCAGACCGCCAGCUAAGGUCCCAAAGUCAUGGUUAAGUGGGAAACGAUGUGGGAAGGCCCAGACAGCCAGGAUGUUGGCUUAGAAGCAGCCAUCAUUUAAAGAAAGCGU